This is a small nuclear RNA of Rhinolophus ferrumequinum (greater horseshoe bat), 103 nucleotides long. The record is from Ensembl. NCBI's taxonomy places the organism in Eukaryota, Metazoa, Chordata, Mammalia, Chiroptera, Rhinolophidae.
GUGCUUGCUUCAGCAACACAACCACUAAAACUGGAAUGAUACAGAGAUUAGCAUGGCCCCGAGCAAAGAUAACACACCAAUUCACGUAACGUUACAAUUUUAA